GGGUGACACAUCUCUCCCGAUGAAUCGCUAAUUGUCUUCCCGCCCGCAGUAAACAUCCCGCUCCCAUUGUCUGCGCUCAAGAGAGUUUCUGCCGCAAAAUACGGUCCUGCGCGGCGCAGAGACCUCGCCGUGCGCCGCCCCUGCCCCUGCCCCGGCCCUGGCCUCUGCCCUGGCCCCGGUGUCCUGGCCCCUUCGAUCGCACAGAUCCCCCUCUCCCGUCCCUCAGGUCCCGCCUGCCUCUGGUGCCCCCGUGCUGGAGUCCCGGUCCCUUCCCCGCACCUGGCGGCGCGGCAGGCCCGGCCCGACAGCCCCCAGCUCUGCCCUCUCCGCCUCCCCCGCGGCCGCUCCUGCGGGCCGGUCGCGCUCCCCUCCCGCCGCCGUAAGGACCCCUUCGCCUGGAGUACUCCCGGCCCCAGCCUGUUCCGCCGGGCUCCUGGAGAGCAGCCCCGUCCGCGGAGCAAGGGGGUGGGGAUGAGGGGAUCGCGGCCCUCCCGUCGUCUCUCCCAUUCUGGCACAACACCCUUCGUCAGCUCCUCCGAAAUGUUUCUUUUGGCCGGAACAAAAGAAUCAAGAUACUCCUCGGUCUCAUGCUACAUCCUAGCGUUACAUCUCGAGAAGGAAGAGAAAAGUUCGAAGAACUGAAGAUGACAGGUUGGAAAAUGCAGGCAGGAAACAAGCCACAUCAUCUCUCCAAAAUAAAAAUCUUCUUACCAAAAUAGAGUACCAAAUAAACCAUAUAUCUGUAGGUAAUCAA
Long non-coding RNA from Columba livia (rock pigeon), 754 nucleotides. RefSeq lists it as uncharacterized. The transcript has 2 exons. The record is from RefSeq and is a predicted model, not a curated record. NCBI's taxonomy places the organism in Eukaryota, Metazoa, Chordata, Aves, Columbiformes, Columbidae.